AAGACUUAAAUAGGACUAAAGUUCUAGAGUUAUCAAAGGGGAUGGGACUCCAUCUUUAAUGAGCCUUCCAGCAAUAGGAAUCCAAUCUCUAUGAUAGGAGACCCCUUAAAGGAGAUUCAAUAUAGUAAUAACAAGUUAAUUGGCUAGAUAGGGGUGGGCCACACACACAUACAUAUAUAUAUAAAAGUGAUUAAUCUACACCAUUUCUAUAGUGAUUAGUGCUCCUAUAUAGAUGUUAAGGAAAAGCAAAGCUUUGAAUGAGAUCUAAGAUGUAUUCUCUUUGAGAUGUGACUCUACACACAUCUUUAGAGGACUCAUAUGUAUGAGAGCUUCUGUAUAUGACCACGGCUAGAGAAAAUGGAUAAAUCCUAGGUGCUCUCAUGAACAACAAGAUACUUAUGCAUGCCCAAUAAC
Molecule: long non-coding RNA, 414 nt
Filed under: Elaeis guineensis (African oil palm)
Lineage: Eukaryota; Viridiplantae; Streptophyta; Magnoliopsida; Arecales; Arecaceae
Description: long non-coding RNA (EGUI_LNC020653)
Source: RNAcentral